RNAcentral lists this unclassified non-coding RNA (210 nucleotides) under plant metagenome. RNAcentral's name for it is "partial contains small subunit ribosomal RNA, internal transcribed spacer 1, and 5.8S ribosomal RNA". The record is from RNAcentral.
UCUCCGUUGGUGAACCAGCGGAGGGAUCAUUACUGGAAUCGCAAGAUCCCACAACCCCUGUGAACCUACCGAAACGUUGCCUCGGCGGGCGCCCGGCCCCGCGCCGGGCGCUGAGCCCGCCGGCGGCCCCCUACUCUUGUCUCUGCAGCGUGGCAUCACAGAGUCCCAGAAAACAAGUAAAAACUUUCAACAACGGAUCUCUUGGCUCUA